GGCUCAGAGCGAACGUUUGCGGCGGGCCUAACACAUGCAAGUCGAACGCACUAGCAAUAGUGAGUGGCGCACGGGUGCGUAACACGUGGGUAAUCAACCCUUCAGCUUGGGAUAACGACUUGAAAGGGUCGCUAAUACCGGAUACGGCGAGAGAGGCUUCGGCAUUUCUCGAGAAAGCCUCGCAAGGGGCACUGAAGGACGAGCCUGCGGCCCAUCAGCUAGUUGGUGAGGUAAGAGCUCACCAAGGCGAAGACGGGUAGCUGGUCUGAGAGGAUGAUCAGCCACACUGGAACUGAGACACGGUCCAGACUCCUACGGGAGGCAGCAGUGGGGAAUAUUGCGCAAUGGGCGAAAGCCUGACGCAGCCACGCCGCGUGAGCGAUGAAGGCCUUCGGGUCGUAAAGCUCUGUGGGGAGAGACGAAGAAAGCCGGUGAAGAGCCGGCCUUGACGGUAUCUCCUUAGCAAGCACCGGCUAACUCCGUG
RNAcentral lists this ribosomal RNA (484 nucleotides) under uncultured bacterium. RNAcentral's name for it is "bacterial SSU rRNA". It matches the Rfam family "Bacterial small subunit ribosomal RNA", at positions 21 to 507 of the family's 1533-position model. The record is from RNAcentral.